GACGAACGCUGGCGGCGUGCCUAAUACAUGCAAGUAGGACGCAGUUGCGAACGGGUGAGUAACGCGUAGGUAACUGCCUAUUAGAGGGGGAUAACUAUUGGAAACGCUAGCUAAUACCGCAUAAUAGUAGAUGGACCUGCGUUGUAUUAGCUAGUAGGUGAGGUAAUGGCCUACCUAGGCGACGAUACAUAGCCGACCUGAGAGGGUGAGAGGCCACACGUGGACUGAGACACGGCCCAGACUCCUACGGGAGGCAGCAGUAGGGAAUCUUCGGCAAUGGGGGAACCCUGACCGAGCAACGACGCGUGAGUGAAGAAGUUUUUCGGAUCGUAAAGCUCUGUUGUUAAGGAAGCGGUACUUAACCAGAAAGGGACGGCUAACUACGUGCCAGCAGCCGCGGUAAUAC
Molecule: ribosomal RNA, 406 nt
Filed under: uncultured bacterium
Lineage: Bacteria
Description: partial 16S ribosomal RNA
Rfam family: Bacterial small subunit ribosomal RNA
Source: RNAcentral